Molecule: ribosomal RNA, 484 nt
Filed under: uncultured bacterium
Lineage: Bacteria
Description: partial 16S ribosomal RNA
Rfam family: Bacterial small subunit ribosomal RNA
Source: RNAcentral
AUUGAACGCUAGCGGGAUGCUUUACACAUGCAAGUCGAACGGCAGCGCGGACUUCGGUCUGGCGGCGAGUGGCGAACGGGUGAGUAAUGUAUCGGAACGUGCCCAGUAGCGGGGGAUAACUACGCGAAAGCGUAGCUAAUACCGCAUACGCCCUACGGGGGAAAGCAGGGGAUCGUAAGACCUUGCACUAUUGGAGCGGCCGAUAUCGGAUUAGCUAGUUGGUGAGGUAACGGCUCACCAAGGCGACGAUCCGUAGCUGGUUUGAGAGGACGACCAGCCACACUGGGACUGAGACACGGCCCAGACUCCUACGGGAGGCAGCAGUGGGGAAUUUUGGACAAUGGGGGCAACCCUGAUCCAGCCAUCCCGCGUGUGCGAUGAAGGCCUUCGGGUUGUAAAGCACUUAUGGCAGGAAAGAAACGUCGCGGGCUAAUACCCCGUGGAACUGACGGUACCUGCAGAAUAAGCACCGGCUAACUACGUG